UUGAACGCUGGCGGCAUGCCUUACACAUGCAAGUCGAACGGCAGCACGGGUGCUUGCACCUGGUGGCGAGUGGCGAACGGGUGAGUAAUACAUCGGAACAUGUCCUGUAGUGGGGGAUAGCCCGGCGAAAGCCGGAUUAAUACCGCAUACGAUCUACGGAUGAAAGCGGGGGACCUUCGGGCCUCGCGCUAUAGGGUUGGCCGAUGGCUGAUUAGCUAGUUGGUGGGGUAAAGGCCUACCAAGGCGACGAUCAGUAGCUGGUCUGAGAGGACGACCAGCCACACUGGGACUGAGACACGGCCCAGACUCCUACGGGAGGCAGCAGUGGGGAAUUUUGGACAAUGGGCGAAAGCCUGAUCCAGCAAUGCCGCGUGUGUGAAGAAGGCCUUCGGGUUGUAAAGCACUUUUGUCCGGAAAGAAAUCCUUGGCUCUAAUACAGUCGGGGGAUGACGGUACCGGAAGAAUAAGCACCGGCUAACUACGUGCCAGCAGCCGCGGUAAUACGUAGGGUGCGAGCGUUAAUCGGAAUUACUGGGCGUAAAGCGUGCGCAGGCGGUUUGCUAAGACCGAUGUGAAAUCCCCGGGCUCAACCUGGGAACUGCAUUGGUGACUGGCAGGCUAGAGUAUGGCAGAGGGGGGUAGAAUUCCACGUGUAGCAGUGAAAUGCGUAGAGAUGUGGAGGAAUACCGAUGGCGAAGGCAGCCCCCUGGGCCAAUACUGACGCUCAUGCACGAAAGCGUGGGGAGCAAACAGGAUUAGAUACCCUGGUAGUCCACGCCCUAAACGAUGUCAACUAGUUGUUGGGGAUUCAUUUCCUUAGUAACGUAGCUAACGCGUGAAGUUGACCGCCUGGGGAGUACGGUCGCAAGAUUAAAACUCAAAGGAAUUGACGGGGACCCGCACAAGCGGUGGAUGAUGUGGAUUAAUUCGAUGCAACGCGAAAAACCUUACCUACCCUUGACAUGGUCGGAAUCCUGCUGAGAGGCGGGAGUGCUCGAAAGAGAACCGGCGCACAGGUGCUGCACGGCUGUCGUCAGCUCGUGUCGUGAGAUGUUGGGUUAAGUCCCGCAACGAGCGCAACCCUUGUCCUUAGUUGCUACGCAAGAGCACUCUAAGGAGACUGCCGGUGACAAACCGGAGGAAGGUGGGGAUGACGUCAAGUCCUCAUGGCCCUUAUGGGUAGGGCUUCACACGUCAUACAAUGGUCGGAACAGAGGGUUGCCAACCCGCGAGGGGGAGCUAAUCCCAGAAAACCGAUCGUAGUCCGGAUUGCACUCUGCAACUCGAGUGCAUGAAGCUGGAAUCGCUAGUAAUCGCGGAUCAGCAUGCCGCGGUGAAUGCGUUCCCGGGUCUUGUACACACCGCC
RNAcentral lists this ribosomal RNA (1366 nucleotides) under uncultured beta proteobacterium. Its description in RNAcentral is "bacterial SSU rRNA". It matches the Rfam family "Bacterial small subunit ribosomal RNA", at positions 29 to 1394 of the family's 1533-position model. The record is from RNAcentral. Lineage: Bacteria; Pseudomonadati; Pseudomonadota; Betaproteobacteria.